Non-coding RNA from Schistosoma rodhaini, 45 nucleotides. NCBI's taxonomy places the organism in Eukaryota, Metazoa, Platyhelminthes, Trematoda, Strigeidida, Schistosomatidae. The record is from Rfam.
AUCCAGAUGACGAGUCCCAAAUAGGACGAAACGCGCGUCCUCGAU